Molecule: unclassified non-coding RNA, 433 nt
Filed under: soil metagenome
Description: partial contains 5.8S ribosomal RNA, internal transcribed spacer 2, and large subunit ribosomal RNA
Rfam family: 5.8S ribosomal RNA (bases 1-120)
Source: RNAcentral
GAUGAAUAACGCAGCGAAAUGCGAUACGUAAUGUGAAUUGCAGAAUUCAGUGAAUCAUCGAAUCUUUGAACGCAUAUUGCGCUCUCUGGUAUUCCGGAGAGCAUGCUUGUUUGAGUAUCAGUAAACACCUCAACUUCCAUAUCUUUUUUGAAAUGGGAGUUGGACUUGAGUGAUCCCAACGCUUUUCCUCACCGAAAAGUGGCGGGUUACUUGAAAUGCAGGUGCAGCUGGACUUUUCUCUGAGCUAUAAGCAUAUCUAUUUAGUCUGCCUAAAAAACAGAUUAUUACCUUUGCUGCAGCUAACAUAAAGGAGAUUAGUUCUUGUGCUGACUGAUGCAGGAUUCACAAAGACAGGCUUCGGCCGACUUUGUAAACUCGAUCUCAAAUCAAGUAAGACUACCCGCUGAACUUAAGCAUAUCAAUAAGCGGAGGA